UCCAGAAUGGGCCAAGUGACAUGUCACCA
This 29-nucleotide non-coding RNA is filed under the name Homo sapiens (human). The record is from RNAcentral. Lineage: Eukaryota; Metazoa; Chordata; Mammalia; Primates; Hominidae.